Rattus norvegicus (Norway rat) is the source of this 2188-nucleotide long non-coding RNA. RefSeq lists it as uncharacterized. The record is from RefSeq and is a predicted model, not a curated record. Lineage: Eukaryota; Metazoa; Chordata; Mammalia; Rodentia; Muridae.
CCCAGGGAGCUGGCGUCAGCCCCAGUUUUUUUCCCCCCCUAAGUCUCAACUCGCUCGCUGUCCCUCAGGGACUUCUUGUGCCAGACUGCCUACCCACCCUAGGCAGCACUGUGCAGAAACGCGGCUGCCGGGCGUGCGGCAGUCCCUGCUGUCUCUCCUGGAGGAUGGAAGAUGCAGGUGACCUGCCCUGAGCUUCCCUCAUGAGUGAACAAACGCCAGCUCCGAGAGGUGGAUUCACAUGUCCAAGGUCACACAGCAAGAACGCAAUCAUGGUGCUCUUGGAAAUGCCCCCCUCCCCGUGGUUGUGUGCACGACUGACCCUGCACCUCUGGCCACUGUGAGGCCUCAAAAAUAUUGACUUUUCAAAAUGCCAAGCCAAAUCCAAGGUUGAAAGCCACAUCAGCCCAACCGCCUGGUAUGAUCUCCGAGCCGCCCCCUCGCCUCUGUCCUGAGUAAAUAUUUGCUCUCCAGACACCAGACUUGCCAAAAUGAAACCACCAAGUGUUUCCUUGUCAUGGACGUGGUUGGUUGGCCCCUUCCUGUCCCUACAUCACAAUGGCGCACUUGGUCUUUUGCCCAUGGGUCUGGCUCAGAGCUAUACAAAGGGUGACCAUAUACCUCAGUGAUCAGCCAGCGAAGAACUCAGAACCCAGGUCCCCUUGUCCACAGGGAGACUAGCCCGGGGUCAGUUGGGGACAGAGCUCACCAGACCCCUGUGUGUCCCCAACUCUGUCGCUGCUCAAGUCUAUGGCCAGGCCUCCACGUUAGCCCUGAGCUCAGGAGUCCCCAACGACUCAGCACACAGACACCAGCCCGAGUGAACUCUGUCCCCCGGCUCCUGUCAUCGCUGUCCCCCGAGUACUAGCUGUGACCAAACACCAAGCACCCUGUCCCACACCAUGUAUGAUGUCACAGACAGGGCGAUGAUGUCACUGUAGUGCAAUACCAUGUGACCUCACAGUGUUAAGCCAUUACAUCACCAAAUUACAUCACACACUACCCUGCGGCCUGUCGCUCAACUGUGUCUCAGUCACACCUCAUCUGCUCAUGCCAGCAAGAAGCUCCACCCACAUUUUACAGAUGGAGAGCACAAAGCAGGGAGAAGGGACAGAUGUGACCGGUCCAGUGUCAAACAGCGCAACACAGAAAGGCUGUGGAUCUCGGCUUUCGGCCUGCUUUGGAGAGACAAGAGCAGGAGAGAGCCGGGAGCCAGAUGCUGGCUGCUAGCUCCGGCUUCCAGUGUCACCACGUGUUCUGGGAGUUGGGCUAUAAAAAGCAUUACUCCUGAAUCUGGGGCAGCACAGGCGUCCCCCCAGAGGGCUGUUUCUGCAAAUGCUAUUCUCUCCAGGAAACUCUGGGGACGCCGCAGGCAUCCUGAAAGCAAACCGUAUCUUCCUUACAUAAGGAAUCUGCAAAACUGGAGACCUGUGGGGACCAGGAAGGAACUGAGGAUGCGGACCACAUUGUGACAUGGGGCAGAGAGCCUGCGGGUCUCACGAAGGGAAGAACUUGUCAGUCACUCAUUCAUUCAUUCACUCAUUCACUCAUUCAACAAAUGGUUAUUCCACAUACAUCCAAGCUGACAGGGAACAUAGCUGUGCUCACUCCCUGUGCAGCUCAGCCUCUCUAAAUCUACAGAAUUGAAAGAGAAGCUCUCCACCCCUUGCCGGGCCACCUCAAGCCCGGGGACCUGGGGUUGGGGGCACUGCUCCUUCCCAGAUCUGGAUUGAGCAUAUACCUUCAAGAUUUCUCGAUCUAGCAAAAGAGAAAGCCAAAAAGGAAAAGCUGACAUGUGCCUGUGACCCAAGAACUGGGGGACAGAAACAGAGAUGGCAAACCCAACGCAAUGAGGAGAUGGGUUAUCUGGGAGGGGUUUGGAUGGAUGAAUAGGAGUGCUUCCAGUACCGAGAUGGGAAUGGCCAGAAGUGUGGCCAUGUUUAGUCUUGACUCUGGGAGGUUGACAAACUACAUAUAUCCCUUCCCAGAGUGAAGGCCACAUCUUCUCCCUCCUCCUCGCUUCCCUCUGGCCAGACAGCCCUAGGCUAUUUCCCACUUUACCCAGGAGGUCUCUUCCCUCAGUCUCUUUCCGUUCCUUCCUGGGCCAUAAGACCAAGCUGAGGAAGUGGACUAUCACGCUGUUGAUAAGAGCGCUGUAAUAAAACCGUUACUCAGAGGUGUUCAGAUCUGA